RNAcentral lists this ribosomal RNA (392 nucleotides) under uncultured bacterium. Its description in RNAcentral is "bacterial SSU rRNA". It matches the Rfam family "Bacterial small subunit ribosomal RNA", at positions 29 to 411 of the family's 1533-position model. The record is from RNAcentral.
AACGAACGCUGGCGGCGCGCCUAAUACAUGCAAGUCGAGCGAGAAGACGUAGCAAUACGUUUGUAAAGCGGCGAACGGGUGAGGAAUACAUGGGUAACCUACCCUCGAGUGGGGAAGUAACUAGCCGAAAGGUUAGCUAAUACCGCGUACGCUCCUUGGACUUCGGUUCAGGGAGGAAAGCGAUACCGUGGGUAUCGCGCUCUUGGAUGGGUUCAUGUCCUAUCAGCUUGUUGGUGAGGAACGGCUCACCAAGGCUUCGACGGGUAGCUGGUCUGAGAGGACGAUCAGCCACACUGGCACUGCGACACGGGCCAGACUCCUACGGGAGGCAGCAGUAAGGAAUAUUGCGCAAUGGGCGAAAGCCUGACGCAGCGACGCCGCGUGGGGGAGUG